Molecule: long non-coding RNA, 982 nt
Organism: Oryza brachyantha (malo sina)
Lineage: Eukaryota; Viridiplantae; Streptophyta; Magnoliopsida; Poales; Poaceae
Exons: 3
Source: RefSeq, a predicted model, not a curated record
UUCUCUCCGGCGGCAGGCGGCGAGCGCCCGACGACGGCGAUGGCGGUGGGCGGCGGUCCGGCGGGCAGGGCGUGCGCCAGAGACGCGAUCCGUCAACCACCGGCUGCGGGGCGCGCUCGCCCGGAGGCGGCGCCCAAGCCGGCUACCUUUCCUGUCGGCUCGGUGACCAGCAAUAUUGGUGGCACACGCACGGCAGAGCCGGCGCGACCGAGAGAGGAGCGGACGGCGUGGCGGCAGCGGCGACGACCGCGCGCGCGCACGGGCCGAAGCCUGCACGGCGGCGUUGGCGACGACUGAUUUGUGCGACGCGGAGAUGGUGGGCCCGCGAUGCCAGGGAGGGAAGAGAUGAGCCCGCACGCCGGCGAGUGCAGGCGGGCGGCGGCAUUGGUGCCUGCACGACGACGAUGAUGCGGUGGCUACUCCAAAUCGGAAAAAGAUGAGUUUUAUGUGAGUUUGAGAGAGGACGUGCACACUGAAUGUUCAGUGAAUGAUUGUGUCUUACAUAAUAUACACAUGAUGUGGCACUUUGGCUCUCUUUGUUUGAGUACUGAUUCUAUACAGUCGGCUAGCAGAGCAAAAGAAAUCUUUGAUGGGCAAUUGCGAUACGUGAUUCUGUCGUUGAGAUACUCAAAGCUUUUCUUUUUUUCGGGAUGUAUCUCGAUACAGUCGGACAUGGCCUUCCAAGUACUGAUGCUGUUAGACCUGCUUCAACAAAUACCUGAUGUAUCUACUGAUUUAGAUAGAAUUGAAUGAUGGUUCUGUUAUUGAAACUGUUAGAUAUUCGUUGUUGUCAUUGAUGGUACUGAUGUUGUGACCAAACAGAACUGAUUUCGUGGUAUUGUCAAUUCCUGCUUAAACAAAUGACUAGUCAUUAGACCUGUUUCAGCAUAUAACUGUACUGAUUAGAGAUAAUUAUGAUUGUUUCAUUCAAGUGUUUAAAGAUCCUUCUUUUGUCCACGCUGUGAUUUGAUGAUACUAAUGU